Molecule: ribosomal RNA, 253 nt
Filed under: uncultured bacterium
Lineage: Bacteria
Description: partial 16S ribosomal RNA
Rfam family: Bacterial small subunit ribosomal RNA
Source: RNAcentral
UACGGAGGGUGCAAGCGUUAUCCGGAUUCACUGGGUUUAAAGGGUGCGUAGGUGGGUUGGUAAGUCAGUGGUGAAAUCUCCGAGCUUAACUUGGAAACUGCCGUUGAUACUAUCAAUCUUGAAUAUCGCGUAGGUAAGCGGAAUAUGUCAUGUAGCGGUGAAAUGCUUAGAUAUGACAUAGAACACCAAUUGCGAAGGCAGCUUACUUCACGAUCAUUGACACUGAGGCACGAAAGCGUGGGGAGCGAACAGG